Molecule: ribosomal RNA, 492 nt
Filed under: Alternaria sp. CJL-2014
Lineage: Eukaryota; Fungi; Ascomycota; Dothideomycetes; Pleosporales; Pleosporaceae
Description: eukaryotic LSU rRNA
Rfam family: 5.8S ribosomal RNA (bases 127-280)
Source: RNAcentral
GCCUUGCUGAAUUAUUCACCCUUGUCUUUUGCGUACUUCUUGUUUCCUUGGUGGGUUCGCCCACCACUAGGACAAACAUAAACCUUUUGUAAUUGCAAUCAGCGUCAGUAACAAAUUAAUAAUUACAACUUUCAACAACGGAUCUCUUGGUUCUGGCAUCGAUGAAGAACGCAGCGAAAUGCGAUAAGUAGUGUGAAUUGCAGAAUUCAGUGAAUCAUCGAAUCUUUGAACGCACAUUGCGCCCUUUGGUAUUCCAAAGGGCAUGCCUGUUCGAGCGUCAUUUGUACCCUCAAGCUUUGCUUGGUGUUGGGCGUCUUGUCUCUAGCUUUGCUGGAGACUCGCCUUAAAGUAAUUGGCAGCCGGCCUACUGGUUUCGGAGCGCAGCACAAGUCGCACUCUCUAUCAGCAAAGGUCUAGCAUCCAUUAAGCCUUUUUUUCAACUUUUGACCUCGGAUCAGGUAGGGAUACCCGCUGAACUUAAGCAUAUCAAUA